Molecule: long non-coding RNA, 727 nt
Organism: Vitis riparia (riverbank grape)
Lineage: Eukaryota; Viridiplantae; Streptophyta; Magnoliopsida; Vitales; Vitaceae
Exons: 2
Source: RefSeq, a predicted model, not a curated record
CAUUAGCACUUUGCUUGUGAAAAUGGGAAGCAAAACGGUGAAGGAAGACUCCAUCUCCAUGGCCUCCUUUACCAAUUCUCUCUUCAUAGUGGUUGUCUUUCUAAGUUUGCUGCCCAACACCUCAGCAUACUUGCGUUACUCCUCUCCACGCUUCCCUCACCCAUUUCCACGCCGCUUUUCUCCACCUUCACGGCUUCACUACAAAUCACCACCAUCUCGUCGAUAUUUUCCUCUUCCUCCUCAGAAAAAACAUCACACGCCACCAGCGCCACCAACACCAUAUAAGAAAUCUCCACCUCCUCCUCCUGAGACCAACCAUACCACGCCACGAGCGCCACCAACACCAUAUAAGAAAUCUCCACCUCCUCCUCCUGAGAACAACCAUACCACGCCACUAGCGCCACCAACACCAUAUAAGAAAUCUCCACCGUCACCCCGUUUCCCUGGUGGACCCCCAAUUAAUCACGUACCUAAUUUACCUCAUUGAGAAAAGAGACAAGCGCCAACCAUAGAGAGGAAACUGUAUGGAGGCCAGUACUAGUCAAGAGAGGAUACUGAACUUAUAUUUAAAGAAUAAAGGGGCUCUCCUGGUUAUUUCUAUCGAUACAUACAUAUUUUGUAAUAAAAAUGAAAGGAUAAAUGUCCACCCAUGUUGUAAUUUGGUUUGUUUGCUUGUAUCUUUUGAUGAUUAUACUAGAAAUGAAUUCGUUUCUCUGAUUCAUGCAUA